CCUCUGUCUCUAUCUCCGAUUUCACCAACGGAUACGGAGGACAUCAACUCCCAGUAACCUUCCUCCUCAACCCUCCUUUGCUGUCUUGGGCAAGCAGAAGUCACCAAUUGCUCUCAGAUCUUGGCUAUCAUGGACCUUCUGUGGACCAAUGAGCUUAACCUGGCCAAUCUGCACACUGACAGUUGCCGUCUUGCCCGAGGAGAUCCAGAGCAUCUGCAAUGUUCCCUCACUCAUUCCAACAAAGCCUCUGCUGGGUUCGAUCCAGAGUAUGAGGCACUGCCCUAACCAUUAGAGAUGGAUGCCAUGUUGAAAAUAACCUCAAGUUUUCAGAAAGGAAUGGAUGGAUCCUGCUUCUUAUUGCUCCCUCCAGCAAGAUGGCGGUGGUACGCUUCAUCCUCCAGAUCACCACAACACCAGUCUGCAGUACCAUCGGGCAGCUGAUUAUGAUGAUGGUAGCCGGAAUCACCAGGACAAUGGUCCAGACUUCCAAUUUGUACAUUGACAUAAUUGAACCCGCCUUAUUGGGUUAAAGCACAGAAUGGAUUUAGAUUAAGGAAAUAAUAUGAGCCACUGAAUUCCAUCAUCACCAAAAAAGCAUACUAUCGUUUCUAAUUCCUCAGAAGACAAGGAUAUUUGACAUUAAUUUAUAGACUCGUACCAACUUCUACAGUUGAACUGUAGAAAACGUACUGCCGGGUUGUAUCACAGCUUGGUUUGGGAACAGCUUUGCCCAAGACCACAAGAAAUUGCAGAGUUGUGGAUCACUCCAGCACACAGACCAGACUUCCCACCGUUGAUUACAUCUACACUUCACUCC
Molecule: long non-coding RNA, 817 nt
Organism: Amblyraja radiata (thorny skate)
Lineage: Eukaryota; Metazoa; Chordata; Chondrichthyes; Rajiformes; Rajidae
Exons: 3
Source: RefSeq, a predicted model, not a curated record